UUGAUCUGAAUCCUUCUUUGUUCUGACGGAGGAGGAAGAGACGAAACAUAGUUACUGUACUUCCUUAGAACCUGGAAGAUAAAACUGAUCAGACGGAAUUGUAAUUGGAAUCAGUGAUUGCUGAGUGGUUAUGGAAGGAGUAGGAGGUCGGUUAGGGAGGUCCUCGACUCGUUACGGAGGACCGGCGACGGUUUUCACGGGUCCGGUGAGGAAGUGGAAGAAGAAGUGGGUUCACGUCUCUCCCUCCACCAAGAAACUCAAUCACUCCUCCUCAUCCGCUUCCGACGGCGCUAACGGAUCGCAUUUGCUGUUCUUCAAGUGGGCACCAUUGUCUCGGACCGGGAACUAGAUUGGUUAGAUUGCAGUACUUGAGGAGCAGAAGAAUGAAGUUACAGAAAUUGAGGAAGAUGAUAAGGUUGAGGAAGAGGAGCAGAAGAAAGAAAUUGAGCAAGACGCAAGUGCAGCAGAGCUAAGUGAGAAGAGAGCACAAGUUGAGGAAAAACCAGACAUGAAUGAUGUUCCUAUGGAAGAUAAUCAAGUAACACUUUUUUUUAACCUCACCUUAUGCUCCCUUCCUUUUAGCCUUACCCAACUUAAGAGACAGUUGAAUUAAAAUUUCAAAUACCAGUUAUUUUCAUAUUAAUAUAAUUAGCUUAGUA
Molecule: long non-coding RNA, 659 nt
Organism: Brassica oleracea var. oleracea
Lineage: Eukaryota; Viridiplantae; Streptophyta; Magnoliopsida; Brassicales; Brassicaceae
Exons: 2
Source: RefSeq, a predicted model, not a curated record